Molecule: long non-coding RNA, 11230 nt
Filed under: Cricetulus griseus (Chinese hamster)
Lineage: Eukaryota; Metazoa; Chordata; Mammalia; Rodentia; Cricetidae
Description: lncRNA (ENSCGRG00015041162.1)
Source: RNAcentral
AUUGGAAAAGGACUGCUAUAAGGACAUAGUCUGUGCAAGAAGAUGGUGGCAGUAUGUAUGUAAGAAGGAAGAAUAAUAAGAUGGCUUCAAAUAAGAAGGAUUGCAUGGAGAUUCAAAAAUGAGUUCCAGAAAACUCAAGCUGUGAAGGAUCCAAGUGGAAUGGUAGAAUUUGGAUUUGGGGAGGCGGCCAGGAUCAAAAGGCUCUCUCGCUGGCCUGGAGUUGUGUAGCACACUGAGUCGGCUAGGUUGUCUGGCUACUGAGUUGCCAUGAUUGAUCCUUCUCCUACAAGCAUCUGGCAUUACACUCAACUUUUAUUUGUAGUGCAAGCUUCUGGCUCAAGAGACUUGGAAUAAAGACUGGACACAGAUCUGUCAUUCCCUCCCCCACCUCUCCUAGCUGUGAUUCAGCUCCUACUGGGUUAGAGAGGCCCCUGCACUCCUUGGCUUGUGGCACAUAUAGUCCAUCUUUGAAGCCAGCCGCACGGCAUCUCUGACACCUCCUCAGGCUCCGAGUAAAGGACCCUUGUGACUGGACCAGGACCACCUGCCUAGCUCCUCAACUCAGUUCCUUAAGGUCAUCUUGUCUCCAAAUUCUCAUCUGCCCUGUGAGUUACAUGUUGCAUGUAGGCUAGUUCUCAAAUACACAUGUAGCCAUCUGAGAAGAUGGGAUUAUUGCCUGCCACAUAUAUUAUUUUUCUGAAGAACAUUUUGAACAAUUCAUUUUGUGUUCAUACCGAGGAAAGAAUUGGUCAGUACAUCUUCUUGCUCUUUUGACUUAGUCCUGUUUUAAGGAAACAAAAGCUAUAGUUUAACUGGUGCUCACUAUUCCAUAAUAUGAAUAGAACGAUACUAUUUGUCUACUCCACUGUUAAGGAAAAUUUUCAUUUUUUGUUUAAGACUCCUAAGACCAUCCCAGAGACAAAUCAUCUUGUAAAUAUCCCCUGAUUUAUAUGAACACAUUUAAAAAUGUUUUUUAAUGGCUGGGCAGUGGUGGUGCACACCUUUAAUCCCAGCACCCAGGAGGCAGAGGCAGGUGGAUCUCUGAGUUCAAGACCAGCCUAGUUUAGAGAGUGAGUUCUAGGACACUCGGGGCUACACAGAGAAAUCCUGUCUCCAAAAGAGUUCUCUCUCUCUCUCUCUCUCUCUCUCUCUCUCUCUCUCUCUCUCUCUCUCUCUCUCUCUCUGUGUGUGUUUAUCUCUGGAGGCCAGAAGAAGCGUCAGACUCUCUAGAAUUGGAGAUAAAGAUGAUUUCGGGCUACCCAACAUAGGUGCUGCAAACUGAACUCAGGUCCUCUGCAAGAGCUCUCUUAACUGCUGAGCAUUUCUUUACUGAAACUGAAAUUGAAGAUGUUUCUUAUGUUUCAGGAUCAUCAUUAUUUGUUCUUCAGUAGCUGUCAGGUUAGUUUGCUUUUUUUUUUCUUACCUGCUUCUUUUACUCUGGGUUCUUUUGUGACCCUCUCUCAAUCUUUAUUCUGUCAUUUCAUUUUAGUCUCAGUGUGGAUUUCUUUGCAUUUGUGUGAUUCUGAGAAUAGCUUCAAACAAAUCCAGUAGUCCAUCUUUGACUACCAGGGACACAUUGCAAGAGUCACUGUGGAUGCUGAAACCAUGAGGAAUCCUGAAAUUGAAAUGUACUACAAUUUUUUUCAUAGCAUAUGAUGAAGUUUAAUCUUUAAAUUAGGCAAGAAGCUUUUAUAAUAAUAGCUAGCUGUAGGAUAAUCCUAACAACCUGCUAUAAUAAAGUUAUGUAAAUACAGUCUUUCUCUUUCAGAAUCUUAGGCUAUAGUCAUUUUUGUUUUGAGGAUGGGAGAUGACCCAACGCCUGAACAAUGAGAUGAAGUGAGGGGAAGAUGUAGACUUUGUAACAUAGUGUUAGGUUUCCAUGUAAGUAGUCCUUGAACACAAACACUGCAAUAUCUGGGACUUACUACAUGGACCAGGUUGGCUUCUAACUCACAGAAAUACACCUGCUUCUGCUAGGAUUAAAGUGUGGCCACCACACCCAGCAUCUGUGGAUCCUUUUAAUGUUUGAAUGUGGCAAAAGACAGGGGAAUGAUGUCCUGUGUUUACAUGGCAGACAAGCAGUGAGUCUUCUCCCACAGGCCCCUUUCACAGGAACACCCAUCAUCCAUAAUGACAAAGCAUUCACAACCUAAAGGCCCUUCUUACUACAACCCGGUUCCCAAUAGGAUCACACUGGAGAUUAAAUGUUUUACCCAUGAAUGGGGCAGGAGCAUUCUAGAUUGUAACCACAGGGUAGUUGAGGAUGGGAUUAGGGGUAAAUUAAACUGCCAGAAGGCUCACAGCUUUGCCUUCCGGACCUUGAGAUUUUGAUGUAAAGUCUGAUUCUAAUAACUUUUUUUUUUUGCCAUUUUUGUUGCAUUUUACAGAGGCAGAUAUUUAGCCUCUUAUGCUUUGUUAUUUCUCCCUGUUGGUUUUUGUUUAUACAUAUCUUAAUGUCCUCCAGAGCAUUCCUUAAGAAUGGCAAUGUAUGCUCUUAACUGAUUUCAGCUUAUCACAAAUGAAUCUUAUCAUCUAUUACCUCAUAUAUAACUGAAUAAGAUUGAAAUAGAUUUUUUUGCCUACACCCCACUUUUAGCUAUUUUUAUUAGAAUGUGUCAUAAACCUCAUGAUUCAGAUUUUUCUUUUAGAUUUAAAUAGCCAGAUGUCCUUUAAAUAAGUCAGACAUUGGCCUUCCUAUUCAUUGGCAUAUUUACUGCUGUUCCAGACAUUCAGUCUUUGAAUACCAUUUUUUCCCCUAAGAAACGGAAGAAAUACUAGAACUUAAAAGUAAGACCUAUUUUUUUGAAGUAUAGCAUCCCAAUAACUAAUUUUAUCAACCUUUAUGUAUGUGAAGGUGCUUAUAUUUCAUUUUCAUAUUUUGCAGAUUAUCUUUCUUAGAAUAAAUAACUUGAUUAAAAAAAAACAACCUCUCAGCCUGUGAUAGUUUGAAUGUAAUUGUCCCCCAUAAUUUCAUAGCAAGGUGUGGUUAGUUGGAGUGGAUAUGAUCUUGUUAGCAGAAGUGUGUCACUGUGUGGGUGGGUUUUAAGGUUUCCUAUGCUCGGGAUUCUGCCCAGUGUUUUAGUCAUCUUCCUGUUGCCUGCAAGAUGUAGGACUCUCAGCUACUCUUCUAGCACCAUGUCUGUCUGCACACCACCAUGAUCCCCAAUGAUAAUGGACUGAACCUCUGAAACUGAGAGAGAACAGUGUUAAACCCAGUUGCAGAGAGGGAGGAGUGAUGAGCAAAGAGAUCAAGGCUGGGCUGGUGAAACCCACAGAAACAGCUGACCUGAACAAGGGGGAGUGCAUGGACCCCAGACUGAUGUCUAGGAGGCCAGCAUGCGACUGAUCCAGACCCCUGAACGUGGAUGUCAGUGAGGAGGCCUCUGCCCAAGACCAUCUGUUGUUUGUAAACAGAAACUCCAAGUAGUAAUCCCCAUUUGGAUGCUUCAGUAAAAGAGACUAAGAAGUGUUGUCCAUCUUAUUCAAGGCCAUUAUAAAAGCCACGGAUUGUUCCGAAAGUCUUCAACUUUUGGAGAAAGAUUUUGUCUAUGAUGAAGGAAUUAAAUAAUUGAGAAAAAUCUGAAAGAAAUUCUCUAUGUGAAAACUUUCAGACCCACCUUGACUCAUUUCCUGUCUGUCUGUCUGACUUGGAAGUUCCAACAUGCUCAUGGGAGUCAGAUGGGAGUCCACGAACUGAGAAUAAAAUUGAGGAUGAAAGAGACAGGAUUUAGCAAUAAAAGACCCAAAUAAACACAAGACCAAAGAUCUCUGACAAAUAAAAGCUUCCCUCACAGAGACACACAGCACCAACUCAAAUGUUCACCAGGGAACCAAGGGUGAAGAAAUGUGGCCAGUGGAUACAACAGAAUGGUGUUCAGUCAUAAAAAGGAUGACAUUCUGACAGAGCUUUUUGAUGAAGGUCUAGUCCAAUGGGAGAUAGAAGAAAGAUCUGCUGCCUUCUACCCUCUUCUAUGCUGCUUACUCAAACAGAGGGAAAGUCACAACCAGUCUGCAUUGCCUGAUAUUAGAGCGUGCUCUUACAUGAGAAAUACAAUUGUAUCUUAAUCUAAUAUUAUUUUAUUUACAAGUAUUUUGUUUAUGUUGUUCACAUUUCCAUGGCUGACUCCAUAGCUGACAAAACAGUUUUUGCUGUAGGGGUGACUCUAAGGAGAAUGGUUACUUUUUAAGUGUGUUUAGUAGACUUCCAUCUGAUUACUCAUAACUUUUCAUCUACUCAUUUUUUCUUUGAUGGGCUUUAACCUGGUGCUGACAUCCUUUAUCCUGCAGCUGUUUAAUAUGAAUGUUUCCAUUUUGUUUUACUCUAACUAGCUCUUGUCAAGGGGUUAAGAUUGGGCAAUCCCUAGCCAAACUGGCUUCCUUAAGAGUAUGUGUAUGUCAGGUGGAGCCUUUGCGUUGGCCUGGGUGGAAAAGGCAUCUUUGUAAAACAUGUGGUGUCUACUUAAAAGCUGAGCUCCUGGUUAGUAUUUACUGGGAAAUUCAAAACAAUUUCCCAGUUCAGUUAGCCAGCAUAACAUUGCACAGAUCUGGUUUUCUGCCUGGAACAUCCAGUACCAAGCCGUGCAUUUCCCUCAAAUUGAAAUUCCAAUCUCAGUAUGGUCUCCACAAUAUCCCUCUUAUUUUCUGCUAGUAUUCCAAAACCCCUCCCUGCCUAUGCUGGGUCCAGGCUUUCUCUUUGUUCCUCUCUUCAGAAUUUAGGUAACCAUGGUGAAUUCACCUGCUGCUCAGGUGGAGGGUGGUGCUUUUAGCCUGAAAUCCAACUGGGUUUGACCCGUAGGCUUCAAAUCCUCAUUUUACUCCCAUUGCCAGUAUCAAGUACAACAUUUUAAAGUAUUGACUUAGGUGACCCAACCCCACUGUUGAAAGGAAAAUGUCCUGGAAAGCAAGAGCAAUUUCACAGUAAUGCAUUAAAGGGAACACUUAGUCCCCAGCACUGUUUCCAAUAUUCUUUGUGUCCUUUUCCAUCACCUAUACUAACACCAAGGUUCAUCUGGCUUCAUCCUAGAGGGAUUCUGCAUUCUUCUCCUGGGUGAAUCUCAUAUUCUCCCCCAUGUCUUUUCUUACUGUUUCACAAAAGCACAAGAAAGGUUCCUCCAAAGAGCAUACAGAGUAGCAAAGAGGUCAAAAUGGAACAAAACACAAUCCCUUGUUGAAGUUAGAAGAGAAGACUGUGAGUAUUUAUAAAUUGAUUUGUAAUAACAGACCAGGCUGGACUUCCUACAUAGCUAAGGAUAGCCCUGCAUUCCUGAUCUUCCUGUUUCCACCUCCCAAGUGCUGGGGUUACAGUUGUGCACUGCCACUCCUGGAUGAGUUCACACGUUGUACCUUAACACAGAGACAGAUGGAUAUUCAUCUUUUUUUCUUUUAAAAUUUCUUGUAUAAUGGUGUAUUUGAUUGACACGAGUGCUUGUGAGUUUGAGGACACCAUCAGGUUCUGUGAUCCCCAAAAUCACCCAUAGCUGAUACUUGUUGAUUUUGUAGUCACUACACUUUUAUAUACAAGAGCAAGACAAAGGUGUAAAUGUUGACAGUAGUCAUAGUAAGUACUUUACACCAGAUGUGAAAUUCGUGGAUGAAAAAGGAUGGGCCCAGGAAAUUCACCGAAGUGGUGGAAUUCUUUUUCUUUAACACAUAAUAUUUUGGGGAGAAAAUGGACUAUUUCUUGGGGAUGAGCUUCAGUGAUCGGGAGUAGAUGAAAAAUAAUAAUGGGAAAAUAAUGGAAACCACUGAAAUACUUCUCAGUUCCUCAUCACACUCAGCAAAAGAUGGCAAAGGACUGUCCCAGAACCCAGGGCAAAGGAUCCUGAAGAUGUGUGGUGAAGGGAACCAUGGGCCAGUCAUAGUUUUGUCAUAAGCAAUUUUGAAGGUGGUUGCUUGAUUGUUGUCUCUCCACCAGAAGCUAGUCAAUGGGUUACCAUGAAACAGAGGUAGAGCCAAGUGAGUGGUUCUGAGAGUCCUUUCAAAGAGAUGGACAUUUCUUAGACAAAGCUUCAGCAGUAUGAUUUGCAAAUUACCUUCUAAAAAUAUCAACUAGGCUCAAUAAAAUAUGAACUGCAAUCAAUAAGGCACAGAGGAAUACAUGAUAAAUGGACAGAUAAACGAACUAGGAGGUAUGUUAACUGUUAGAAAGGAAAAUGUAAGCAUAAUGAAAAAUAGACAGUCCUGUUCUCACCAAGUGUCCCUGCAUGCAUGGGUACAGACUGAAGCUCAUAUGUGAAUCCCUGACCUCAAAUAGGAUCAUGUUGAGUGAUGGGCAACAGAAAAGUGGGCCUCAAGGCUGAUUCUCUUACAUGAAGGCAAAUAAACACCUGGACUCUGGGCAUAGUGAGAAAGUGACAUCUGCAAACCAGGAAAAGGCUUCACCAGAAACCAACCUUGGAGACUCCUUGACCUUGAACUGUAGCCUUCAGAAUGAUGAGAAAGAAAAUGAACCUUUGUUUAGGCCCCAGUCAGCAUAACACUAGAGAGUAAAACACACUGAAUGGGUGUGUAAAGCUGGGACCAGAGUGAUGGAAGAGGGGCAGUAUAGCAGUACCUGGGAACCUCCUUCGGAAUGUGAAGAUCUAGAGAAAGAAACAGGAAGGUGGAAGAUUUGGGACAUGGAGAUUUUGAGUAUAUCUUUUUAUAAGAAAAUGACACCAAAAAUAGUAUCUAGACAAUAUUUACAAAUAUAAAUUUUAAUGCUUAGAUGAUGAAACUGCAACGAUUGCUCAUAAAAUGACUCCUUAUAAGAAAACAUAAUCAAUUAUGAGACUAACAACUUCUUUUAGUCCCACACUAUUGAGCAGGUCUAAGAUUAAAGAAUCUUUAAACCCUGGUUUCCAAGUGUGUUUUGGACAACUCAAGGCACCAGGACAAACUCCCAGGGCACUGUGGAAGUAUUUUACACUUGGGGGAGAUUCAGGGACACUGGACAUGCUUUAGGAGCCAUGGGCUUUGCUUUUCAAGGUAGUGCACAAUUUGUAUGUUAGAUAGUGUUUCGUUCCUUUUUAUGAUGUCAUAUCAUCGUGAGACUGGAUUCCUGGUGGAUGCUUUAAUUAAAGAAAAGCACAUUCUGCAUGACCGUUAAUGUAGAGCAACAAAUGAGAUGCUGGAGUGAGCAAGAAUGAGACAUGCAAUAUUAUUGUGUAAUUAUGCUUGUUGGGUAACUUAAGGGUGAUUGUCAAGCAGUAUUAAAUUAUUUAAACAUUUCGUCAGCUGGGGAAGUUUAGAGACCCGUAAGUAAGUAUGAAGAUACCUGAAGAGGUUUGUGAUAUGUUCUCUCCAUUCUUGAAUAUGUGUGUGUGUGUGUGUGUGUGUGUGUGUGUGUGUGUGUGUGUGUGUGUGUGUGUGUGUGUAAAGUUGAAUGUAAUUUGUAAUUGUUUUGGUUUUUUAGAGGUCAUUAUGAAUUUUAUUUUAUUUAUUUUUCUAUUUUUUAUUUAAAUUAGAAACAAGCUUUUCUUACACGUCAAUCCCAGUUCCCUCUCCCUCCCCUCCUUCCUUGCCCCCCACUAGCCCCCUAUCCCAUCCCCUUUCUGCUCCCCAGGGAGGGUGAGGCCUUUCAUGGGGGAUCUUCAAAGUCUGUCAUAUCAUUUGGAACAGGGCCUAGAUCCUUCCCCAUGUGUCUAGGCUCAGAGAGUAUCACUCAAUGUGUAAUGGGCUCCCAAAGUCCAUUUGUAUGCUAUGGAUAAAUAUUGAUCUACUACCAGAGGCCCCAUAGAUUAUCUCCUCACUGACACCCACGUUCAGGGGGCUCUGGAUCAGUCCUUUGCUGGUUUUUUGGGGUCCAUGAGCUCCACCUUAUUCAGUUUAGCUAUUUCUGUGGAUUUCACCAGCCUGGUCUUGACCCCUUUGCUCAUCACUCCUCCCUCUCUGCAACUGGAUUCCAGGAGUUCAGUUCAGUGUUUAGCUGUGGGUGUCUGUUUCUGCUUCUAUCAGUUACUGGAUGAAGGCUCUAGGGUGGCAUAUAAGGUAGUCAUUAGUCUCAUUAUCAGAGAAGGGCAUUUAAGGUAGCCUCUCCACUAUUGCUUAGAUUGUUAGUUGGUGUCAUCCUUGUAGAUCUCUGGACAUUUCCCUAGUACCAGAUUUCUCUUUAAACCCAUAAUGGAUCCCUCUAUUAUGGUAUCUCCUAUGUUGGUCUCCUCUGUUCUUCCCCCAAUUCAACCUUCCUGCUCUCUUAUGUCCUCCUCUCCCCUCCUCUUCUCCCUUUCUCUUUCUACUAGCUCCCUCUCCCAUCCCCACCAUGCUCUCAAAUUGCUCAGGAGCCCUUGUCCCUUUCCCCUUCUCCAGGGGACCAUAUAUCUCUCUCUUAGGGUCCUCCUUGUUUCCCAGCUGCUCUGGCGGUGUGGAUUGUAGACUGAUAAUUCUUUGUUCUAUGUCUAAAAUCCAUAUAUGAGUGCAUACAUGCCAUGUUUGUCUUUUUGUGACUGGGUUAUCUCACUCAGAAUGGUUUCUUCUAGUUCUAUCCAUUUUCCUGAAAAUUUCAAGAUUCCAUUGUUUUUUUUCCCACUGAGUAGUACUCCAUUUUAUAAAUGUACCACAUUUUCUCUAUCCAUUCUUCAGUUGAGGGGCAUCUAGGUUGCUUCCAGGUUCUGGCUAUUACAAAUAAUGCUGCUAUGAACAUAGUUGAACAGAUGUCCUGGUUUAUGAAUGUGCAUCUUUUGGGUAUAUGCCUAAGAGUGGAAUUGCUGGAUCUUGUGGUAGAUUGAUUGCCAUUUUAUUGAGGAGUCGCCAUACUGAUUUCCAAAGUGGCUGUACAAGUUGUCACUUCCACCAGCAGUGGAGGAGUGUUCCCCUUUCUCCACAUCCUCUCCAGCAUAAAUUGCUGUUGAUGUUUUUGAUUCUAGCUAUUCUGACAGGAGUAAGAUGUAUCUCAGAGUUGUUUUGAUUUGCAUUUCCCUGAUGGCUGAGGAUGUUGAACACUUUCUUAAGUGUCUAUCAGCCAUUUUAGACUCUUCUAUUGAGAACUCUCUAUUUAGUUCUGUACCCCACUUUUUAAUUGGAUUAUUUGUUGUUUUGGAGACUAGCUUCUUGAGUUCUUUGUAAAAUUUGGAGAUCAGCCCCUGUUAGAUGUGGGGUUGGUGAAUAUCUUUUUGUUUUGUCUUGGUGACUAUGUCCUUUGCCUUACAGAAGCUUCUCAGUUUCAGGAGGUCCCAUUUAUUAAUUGUCGAUCUCAGUGUCUGUGCUACUGGUGUUAUGUUCAGGAAGUGGUCUCCUGUACCAAUUCGUUCAAGGGUACUUCCCACUUUCUCUUCUAAGAGAUUCAUUGUGGCUGGAUUUAUGUUGAGGUCUUUGAUCCAUUUGUGCAUGGCGAUAGAUAUGGAUCUAUCUGCAUUCUUCUACAUUCCAGCAUCCAGUUAUGCCAGCACCAUUUGUUGAAGAUGCUUUCUUUUUUUCCAUUGUAUAAUUUAAGCUUCUUUGUCAAAAAUCAGGUGUUCAUAGGUGUGUGGGUUAUCAGGGUUUUCAAUUUGAUUCCAUUGGUCUACCUGUUUAUUUUUGUGCUAAUACCAAGCUGUUUUCAGGACUAUAGCUCUAUAAUAGAGCUUGAAGUCAGGACUGGUGAUGCCUCUGGAAGUUCCUUUAUUGUACAGGGUUGUUUUGGCUAUCCUGGUGUUUUGUUUUCCCAUAUAAAUUUGAGUUUUGUUCUUUCAAGGUCUGUGAAGAAUUAUUUUGGAAAAAACUUAGUAUUUUUUAAAUGCAAGCUGACUGCAUUGCUUUUUCAGACAAUAAAUACAAUUGGAUUAAUUUAAAUCCUUCAUUGGCCUCUACAAGCUUUAUUGAGAGAAUGCUAGUUUCUAAGUGCUUCUAGGGCACAGAACUUAUUUUUAAUAUGUCAGAAAUUUCCAUGACAUUUUAUUGAUACCUUUAGCUUAUUUAGGAAAACUUUAAGAAGUCAUAAAAAUGUGACUUUAAAUACAGCUAAAGAAUAAUCUUCAAAGAAAAAAUGAAACCUCAGAUACAAGUAGCUAACUUCUUUAUAUAUUGUAUUCUUUUAGACUCAAAAACAAAAUAUGUUGAAAAUGCAACAACACAUGCUGGUUUCAUUGCAUUAGUGUUGAGUCUAAUGACAGACAUUUAUGCAAUAAAGUAUUUUAAAACUCUAAGGAAUAGUCAAUAUUUUCCUUUUGCUGCAAAAAGAUAUUUAGUACCAGGCAGUUUAGUAACACAGUUUUAAUGAUUUUAUAAAUAUCAAACCAUAACUGUUUAAGCGUGUGCACUUGGCUUUUAUUUUUACAAUCUCAUUUAUCAGAUCAUUUUGUGAUUUCCAGGUUAUAUUAUACAAAACCAAAAAUGCUACCACGAACUAAAAACAAAACACCAAAUGUAUGAAUUUAAGCUUAAUGGGACAAAGGCCAAAGAUUAUCACCGAACACUAGAAAAGUAAAAUAUUAAGAAAACAGUAAAAUCGUAACCUUGCUUACGAUAUAAUUGGAAGUAGAUGGACGAGGAAUUGGUAUAGGAAGAGUGGAUUCUGUCUGUAAAUCAGUGAUCCGCAACCUCUGGAUUGUGACCCUUCUGAGGGUAUCAUAUAAAAUAUUUACAUUAUGAUUCAUUUAAAAAAGUAGCAAAAUUACAGUUAUGAGGUAGCAAUGAAAUAAUUUUAUGGUUGGGGGUCACAACAGCAUGAGGAACUGUAUUUAAGGGUCACAGCAGGAAGAAGCUUGAGAACCACUGCUCUAAACAACACAGUCUUGCUGACAUGAGCAGAAUCUUUCUACCCUGCAGAGACUUUGCCCAGUGGCCUGUGAUUUGGUUAAGAAGAAUCAGAGGUUUACCUUGAGUGGACCAAGUCAGCCCAAGCAAAUUUGCUUCCUGUGUUAAUAUACUUCCAGAUGUGCUGUAGAACCAGACGACUACACAGCAUUUUGAAUUAUGUCAUGUUAACAGCUCUUCCAAUCUUACUUUGUUCUCUUAGUCUCACAGCAAGGCAAAAUCAAAAGAUGAGACAGAAGAGCUCCCCAUGGCUGAAUCAGCUGUGGAUGGAUGUUGGAGAGGAAUGGGCACUACAGCUCUCUCAGGGCAAGCUUGGGUACACACUCUGGGACCGCUUGACUCAGAAAGAGGACUCUAGUAUCCUGCUAGCACAAGACUGCCAGGCCAGAAGAGGGUAUUGGAUCAUCUGAAACUGGAGCUACAAAUGCUGUGAUCAUCAUAUGAGUGCUGGGAGUUGAACCCAGGUCCUCUGGGAGAGCAUCCAGCAUUCAUAUCUCUGUGCCAUGUCUCCAGCUCCCAG